CUUCUCCUCUUCUUCCUCGCUGUCCUCCUCCUCCAACUACUACUAAAAAUUCUCUUCCUCCUCCUCCUUCUACUACUACUGAUAAUAAUUUCUAUGGUGCAUUUCCAAAGCCCAAGACCCCUUUACAAAUUCACAAUCACAGUGUGUAAUACACAAACUUUAUCAAACACGAGUUUGGUUAACACAAACCUGACAUUAUUUAUCUUUUCUUUUUUCUUCCUUUUUUUUAUUUUAUUUUUUUACUUUUUUGUUGAACCUACAUGUUUUACUUCUGCAUUUAAUUUAAACACAUCUAUCUUAGUUAGGGAUUAAACAGAUGAAAAUUCUCACCGUCCAUCAGAGUAAAAUGAUCCUUAACAGGCUCUGGGUCAAACAGCAAGUCUAGAGGUGUGUUUUCAUUAGCCAUCUCUCUACAACACAGAGAAAUAACACACACUUUACCCACUUGUACUGUAAGUGUAUACAGUGUGUGUUUGUCUUUCCCCAUGUUGAAAGUGCACCGUUAAUCCACAUGCUCAUUAAUUCCUACCUUUCUAUAACAGGUGCGCUCAGAGCUCUUCCAAUCAGAACCGAGACCAGAAACAACCUUAUGAAAGUGUUGCUUUUGAGCAGCAUGAUGGCCCAGGAACUUCAGUGUGAUGAAGAUGGUCCUCACUGCAAACCUGACUGUGAUGAUUAUACAGUAGACCUGGGACAUACAGUCUUUAAUAGGGAGGUUUGAUUAAAACUCCUUACGUCCACUUUGAAAUGAACCCGUGAGUAAAACAUUUUUGGCUGCAAGGACAUGAAGAGACAGCCGCACUUUCCUGACAGAGAACUGUGCACAGCCUAUCAAAAACAGCGUACGCAAAUGUGUUUGACUUGCCGAAUUACUGGAGAACGCAGUUUGAG
Ictalurus punctatus (channel catfish) is the source of this 891-nucleotide long non-coding RNA. The record is from Ensembl. NCBI's taxonomy places the organism in Eukaryota, Metazoa, Chordata, Actinopteri, Siluriformes, Ictaluridae.